Molecule: small RNA, 264 nt
Filed under: Otolemur garnettii (small-eared galago)
Lineage: Eukaryota; Metazoa; Chordata; Mammalia; Primates; Galagidae
Description: Metazoan signal recognition particle RNA (ENSOGAG00000032049.1)
Source: RNAcentral
ACUGGGUGUUGUGGUGGGCACCUGUAGUCCCAGCUACUUGGGAGGCUGAGGCAAGAUUGCUUAAGCCCAAGAAUUUGAGGUUGCUGUGAGCUGUGACACCACAGUACUCUACCGAGGGUGACACAGUGAAACUCUGUCUCAAAAUAAAAUAAAAUAUAUAUUUUUUUGAGACAGAGUCUCUCACUUUGUCAUCCUCAGUAGAGUGCUGUUGCAUCAUAGCUUAUAGCAACCUCAAACUCUUGGGCUUAAGCAAUUUUCUUGCCU